This 366-nucleotide transfer-messenger RNA is filed under the name Endozoicomonadaceae. Its description in RNAcentral is "Endozoicomonas sp017744115 Standard tmRNA". It matches the Rfam family "transfer-messenger RNA". Rfam says of the family: Bacterial tmRNA, also known as 10Sa RNA or SsrA, is named for its dual tRNA and mRNA-like properties. Its role is to liberate the mRNA from a stalled ribosome. RNAcentral also lists the same sequence under 1 other name. Lineage: Bacteria; Pseudomonadati; Pseudomonadota; Gammaproteobacteria; Oceanospirillales. The record is from RNAcentral.
GGGGGCGAUCAGGAUUCGACGACGGUUACGAAACCCAAGGUGCAUGUCGAGGGCGUAGCGGCUCUCGUAAAUCAAAACGCUACAAACGUGUAGUUGCUAACGAUAAUAGCUUCAACGGAGCAAUGGCUGCCUAAUAACAGCUUUCUCCCGAUCACUCUGUCUUGUCUGUUGGGUGGAAAUUGAUCGUUACCGAAAAUAGAAUCGCCACAUCGGUCUUCCUGGAGCCGGUGGGUUAAAUCCACAGGAUCGCGCAGUGUCACCCUGACCGUUGGGUCGUUCUGCGUUAACUUAAUAACGGAAACUAAGCAUGUAGAGCCGAAGGCGUAGAGCUGGCGGACGCGGGUUCAAGUCCCGCCGCCUCCACCA